CAGCACCUCAAGUGGUCAGGAUGAUUAUUGGGCCUAAAGCAUCCGUAGCCGGCGCUGUAAGUUUUCGGUUAAAUCUGUACGCUCAACGUACAGGCUGCCGGGAAUACUGCAGCGCUAGGGAGUGGGGGAGGUAGACGGUACUCGGUAGGAAGGGGUAAAAUCCUUUGAUCUAUUGAUGACCACCUGUGGCGAAGGCGGUCUACCAGAACACGUCCGACGGUGAGGGAUGAAAGCCGGGGGAGCAAACCGGAUUAGAUACCCGAGUAGUCC
This 270-nucleotide ribosomal RNA is filed under the name uncultured archaeon. RNAcentral describes it as "partial 16S ribosomal RNA". It matches the Rfam family "Archaeal small subunit ribosomal RNA", at positions 477 to 747 of the family's 1478-position model. The record is from RNAcentral.